Molecule: ribosomal RNA, 497 nt
Filed under: uncultured bacterium
Lineage: Bacteria
Description: partial 16S ribosomal RNA
Rfam family: Bacterial small subunit ribosomal RNA
Source: RNAcentral
GAUGAACGCUGGCGGCGUGCCUAAUACAUGCAAGUCGAGCGAACAGACGAGGAGCUUGCUCCUCUGACGUUAGCGGCGGACGGGUGAGUAACGCGUGGAUAACCUACCUAUAAGACUGGGAUAACUUCGGGAAACCGGAGCUAAUACCGGAUAAUAUAUUGAACCGCAUGGUUCAAUAGUGAAAGACGGUUUUGCUGUCACUUAUAGAUGGAUCCGCGCCGCAUUAGCUAGUUGGUAAGGUAACGGCUUACCAAGGCAACGAUGCGUAGCCGACCUGAGAGGGUGAUCGGCCACACUGGAACUGAGACACGGUCCAGACUCCUACGGGAGGCAGCAGUAGGGAAUCUUCCGCAAUGGGCGAAAGCCUGACGGAGCAACGCCGCGUGAGUGAUGAAGGUCUUCGGAUCGUAAAACUCUGUUAUUAGGGAAGAACAAAUGUGUAAGUAACUAUGCACGUCUUGACGGUACCUAAUCAGAAAGCCACGGCUAACCACGUG